RNAcentral lists this ribosomal RNA (138 nucleotides) under Tilachlidium sp. XCH-710. RNAcentral describes it as "5.8S ribosomal RNA". It matches the Rfam family "5.8S ribosomal RNA", at positions 20 to 154 of the family's 154-position model. From Rfam's summary of the family: 5.8S ribosomal RNA (5.8S rRNA) is a component of the large subunit of the eukaryotic ribosome. The record is from RNAcentral. Lineage: Eukaryota; Fungi; Ascomycota; Sordariomycetes; Hypocreales; Tilachlidiaceae.
CUUGGUUCUGGCAUCGAUGAAGAACGCAGCGAAAUGCGAUACGUAAUGUGAAUUGCAGAAUUCAGUGAAUCAUCGAAUCUUUGAACGCACAUUGCGCCCGCCAGCAUUCUGGCGGGCAUGCCUGUCCGAGCGUCAUUU